Molecule: ribosomal RNA, 1248 nt
Filed under: Triticum aestivum (bread wheat)
Lineage: Eukaryota; Viridiplantae; Streptophyta; Magnoliopsida; Poales; Poaceae
Description: partial small subunit ribosomal RNA
Source: RNAcentral
AUGAAGCCGCUGUGUAGGAUCUCUAAUGAGCCCGUUCAGCUGGUGGCGGACCUAAUACGGGAAGAGGACGGAGAAUGGAAUACAGAACUAAUCCAAAAUCUGUUCAUACAGGCGGAUGUCAAUGCCAUUCUGAAUAUCCCACGGCCUAGAGUGGAACAGCCAGAUUUCUGGGCGUGGGCACGGGAGAGAUCAGGGCUGUUCACAGUCCGGUCUGCUUACAGGUUUCUUAAAGAAAGGCACUGCAACGGCCUGGGUAUACCGAGCAGCUCUUCUGGCGACCAGGACACUUGGAAGAAACUUUGGAAACUGAAUGUGCAACCUAAAAUUCGAGUAUUCUGGUGGAGGGUGCUUAAGGGGUUCCUUCCAGCAAGGGCCGAGCUGUUUCGGAGACAUAUUGGUGAUGAUGCAACAUGCGGCAUGUGUGGGACAGGUGAGGAGACGUUGUUCCAUUCCUUAAUAACAUGCCAUCAGGCUAGGUUGUUUUGGGCAGAAACUUAUAGAUUCUUUGGAGUGAAACUUCCGAGGUUGCAUCCACUCACUUGGGCGAAGGACCUCCUCGAUACAGAUUUUGCAAGUAAAGAUGAGGCAUCUGUCAUUGUUUCUGUUAUGUGGGCAGUAUGGAGCAACAGAAAUAAGUAUAUGCAGGCCGAGAUUCAGUAUCAGCCUAUUCGGUCGAUGGAAAUUAUCCAGGAACACAUUAGAGCUUUGGAAAUUCCGAGCGAGAAGCAGGAGUCUCUGGUACAUAAAACUGGGUGGACUAAACCACUAGUUGGAACUAUAAAAAUAAACUCCGAUGCAGGUUUGGAUCUGGAGGGAGAAAGAGCAGGGACGGCUGUGGUCGCUAGGGAUCAUGAAGGGAAGUUCCUUUCAGGAAGAUUCUCAACAUACACUGGGCACACUGACCCAUAUGUAUGCGAGGCUCUAGGUUGCAGAGAUGCCCUGCUGUUGGCAAAGGAAAAAGGGUGGGAGCGGAUUCAGUUGGUUACUGCUUGCAAAAAUGUGGGAGAUGACUGGAAUGCCAGACGAGACCGCUCGAGCUGUGGCCCUGUCUUUCUCGAGAUGGCUUCGUAUCUCUCAUCUUUCCAGGGAUUUGAAGUAAGACAUUGUGGAAGAGAAGCAAACAAAACGGCACACUUAUUAGCUAAGCACUGUUUGUCUACUAGGGUGCUUAAUGUAACUUAUGAUGUAAUCCCUGAUUUCUUAAGUGCGGCGGUGCACUUGGACUAUGUACGGUCUAUGAAUGAAUAA